GUGGGGAAUCUUAGACAAUGGGCGCAAGCCUGAUCUAGCCAUGCCGCGUGAUCGAUGAAGGCCUUAGGGUUGUAAAGAUCUUUCGCUGGGGAAGAUAAUGACUGUACCCAGUAAAGAAGCCCCGGCUAACUCCGUGCCAGCAGCCGCGGUAAUACGGAGGGGGCUAGCGUUAUUCGGAAUUACUGGGCGUAAAGCGCACGUAGGCGGACUGGAAAGUUGGGGGUGAAAUCCCGGGGCUCAACCUCGGAACUGCCUUCAAAACUCCCAGUCUUGAGUUCGAGAGAGGUGAGUGGAAUUCCGAGUGUAGAGGUGAAAUUCGUAGAUAUUCGGAGGAACACCAGUGGCGAAGGCGGCUCACUGGCUCGAUACUGACGCUGAGGUGCGAAAGCGUGGGGAGCAAACAGGAUUAGAUACCCGGGUAGUCC
Molecule: ribosomal RNA, 425 nt
Filed under: uncultured bacterium
Lineage: Bacteria
Description: partial 16S ribosomal RNA
Rfam family: Bacterial small subunit ribosomal RNA
Source: RNAcentral